Molecule: ribosomal RNA, 396 nt
Filed under: uncultured bacterium
Lineage: Bacteria
Description: partial 16S ribosomal RNA
Rfam family: Bacterial small subunit ribosomal RNA
Source: RNAcentral
CUACGUAGGUGGCAAGCGUUAAUCGGAAUUACUGGGUGUAAAGGGAGCGCAGGCGGGCGUGCAAGUCAGCUGUGAAAUCCAUGGGCUUAACCCGUGGGCUGCAGUUGAAACUGUAUGUCUUGAGGGCAGUAGAGGUAGGUGGAAUUCCGAGUGUAGCGGUAAAAUGCGUAAUUAUUCGGAGGAAAUCCGGUGGCGAAGGCGGCCUACUGGGCUUUAACUGACGCUGAGGUGCGAAAGCGUGGGUAGCAAACAGGAUUAGAUACCCUGGUAGUCCACGCCGUAAACGAUGUCAACUAGCCGUUGGGGGACUUGAUCCUUUAGUGGCGAAGCUAACGCGAUAAGUUGACCGCCUGGGGAGUACGGCCGCAAGGUUGAAACUCAAAGGAAUUGACGGGG